RNAcentral lists this long non-coding RNA (304 nucleotides) under Manihot esculenta (cassava). Its description in RNAcentral is "long non-coding RNA (MESC_LNC006412)". The record is from RNAcentral. Lineage: Eukaryota; Viridiplantae; Streptophyta; Magnoliopsida; Malpighiales; Euphorbiaceae.
GUUCCUCAAAUUUGCUUGCUUCCUUAGGCUCUUGGGAGUUUUUUCAAUCUCAGGGUCGUAAAGAAGAGUGUCUUUACGGCCAGACCUGGUCAUAAAGGGAAAAUACGUUAGUUUAAAUCAAUUCCCCGGCAACGGCGCCAAUUUUUGAUAGGCGGUUGUCGAAGCCGUCAAAAAUAACCUAUUAUCAAUCAACAAAUAAAUUUGCAGAUAGUGGCAAUAGGGUCGAACCACAGGGAAUUGACACCAAGUAUCUUCCUAAUAAUGACUAAGGCAAGUAAUAACAAGUAAGUAAAAGAGGGGGNNN